Neofelis nebulosa (Clouded leopard) is the source of this 915-nucleotide long non-coding RNA. RefSeq lists it as uncharacterized. The record is from RefSeq and is a predicted model, not a curated record. Lineage: Eukaryota; Metazoa; Chordata; Mammalia; Carnivora; Felidae. The transcript has 3 exons.
CCAAGCUUACUCUGAGCACCCCCAGAUGCCUAUUUGGAAACACCUUUGACCAACUCCUCAGUUUGGCCCUGAGACUGUUUGGGGACAAAGGAAAAAUGAUAGGAAAUGGGACAACUGGUGAAGCCCUGCAGUGUUUUUUCACACCUAACGCCUGUUAGUUGUAAACUUGUAUAAAGUAUGCGUAAACCAAAUGAAGAAAACUGAAAUUGACUAUGAUUCUAUCAUUUGGAGCUUACCGCUGUUAACGUAUUGGUUGUUUUCAGGUGAGGGUAUAGAAUAGUGGUUGAGAGCCUGGCAGCCUGGGUCGGAAUCCCGUCUGCCAUUUACUGACUGUGUGAACCAGGACAAGCUACUUAACCACUCACGAUUCAGUCUUCUCUUCUGUGAAAUGGUACAGGUAAUAAUAAUGCUACAACACAGAGUUGUGAAGAUUAGAUGUAUUAAUAUAUGUAAAACAUUUAGAACAGCUUUGGGCACAUAGUACUCUGUAUUUUGAAGCAAAAGAAAACCUGAUAUAACCAGCUUAAACAACCAAGAAAGUGUGUCGGAUGACAAAAUUGCAAAGUUAUAUAAUUGCAACCUUCAGAGGUAGGGCAGGCUGUUGAUCAGAGCUUUCAUAGUUUCUCUACAACUGUCCUAUUCAGAUGUCUAGGCCUCACAUCCCCCAGUUCAGAAGAACAGAGCCUGCUUUCCUACCUCCAGUCAUUAAACAAAAGGCAUAGGCUUCCCAACUGAAUGAAUUUAGGUCACAUGCCUGCUUCUAAACCAUUCACAGUAGCCAAGAGAAUCCCUUGCAGUGACCGGUUUCGGGGUGAAUUCCUUUCACAUUUUUGCACUUAGGGGGAUGGGAUCAUGCUGCUUGAGUAGGUGGGAGUAGAAUCAACCGUCUAUGAAUCCCAUGGCUGCGACACAAUG